GGGAAAUAUGCUAUGGAUACUUUUGAAGAAACAAGUCUGUAGAUAAUGCAUUCAUAGAAAGAAGGUAUGUACGCUCUUGUCAUGAAUAGAUCAAAAUGAAUCUUGAGGUCAUUACAGGGAGAGCCAGCCGUUGAGGUUACAAAUGAAGGUGUUGAUGCUGCAGGGCAUACAAUUGGUACAUCUUUGGAGGUCGUGUUCAAACUUAGGAAGGUUCUCAACCCCAACACUGUGAUCAAACCAACAUCACUAGCUGAAGAUUAUUUUGAGAAUAACAUCUAUCGAAUAAAUUUCAGACGAAAGACCUUGGUAAACUCCUAUAU
Molecule: long non-coding RNA, 320 nt
Organism: Lathyrus oleraceus (garden pea)
Lineage: Eukaryota; Viridiplantae; Streptophyta; Magnoliopsida; Fabales; Fabaceae
Exons: 3
Source: RefSeq, a predicted model, not a curated record